UUCAUGGAGUAGCUUAACUUAGAGGAUGAAGAGUUUAAUGAUCUGGUGAUCGAGGAGGAUGACCCUGUGGUUAAUGAAGGUGUUCGCUGGUUGGCCCUCGCUAGGGUUCACACGGAGAAAACCUUCAGCCCGACGGUGUUUUACCGUGAGAUGCGUGCAGCCUGGAAUCCGGUGAAGCAGGUAAGGUUCAAGCCUGUCGGACCAAACAUGUUCGUCGUUCAGGCGGAGUGCCUUGGUGAUUGGGAGCGUAUGGUGGAACUUGGUCCAUGGCUCUUCAGAAAUUGGGUGUUACUCAUGUGCCCUUAUGAUGGAUUUACUAAGGCAGAAGAGGUUCUCAUGCUUUUCAUGCCAAUAUGGCUUCAGAUCCAUAAGCUUCCUGAGGGUUUCUAUAGGAAAAAUAUUGUGGAAUCGCUGCUAAAUAAGUCUGGGGAUAUUUUGGAGAUGAGGUUAAACGGCAACACUCGCGGUGAUUAUGUGAGGGUUAGGGUUCGUCAUGACAUCCGCCGACCCCUCACAAAAUUCGUUAGUAUUGUUAGAGGUGAAGCAAGGCAGGUUUACCUGAUCCAUUAUGAAAAGCUUGCACACUUUUGCAGUGUUCGUGGACUGAUUGGGCAUGACUGCAAAGAAUGUGGCACCGGGGUCCAUGAGGUAAAGGAUAUGAAAUUUGGGAGCUGGUUGUACGCAGAUGGUCCGAACAAGGCAAGAACUGACAAGUUCGAACGUAGCAAUGACAAACAAGGUCAGAAGCAGUGUACCCCAACCAAAGGAAAGGAUACGAAGAAAGUUAUCGACCCGAACUUGGCUGAUACUGCUUCUAGCCCAUCAAAAAUUGGCACUAGGGAGAUGCAGGUUGACCCCCCGGCUCGUAAGAGACUGGCCAUGGACAAGUCAGGGCAGGAGUUGCCCAACAUACCGGUGGCUAAGUUAGCCCUGACUCAAGGGCUAGGUGAGGAUGGUGAUACUCCCUCGUCACCAUGCAAUAGUUCAAACAGUAAGAAGGCAAGGAUAGAUUCCCAAGGUUUUUCGAAUGAGAGAUCGGCGGCCUCCUUCGAGGAGGACCGUCGGGUACAAUGA
Molecule: ribosomal RNA, 1074 nt
Filed under: Triticum aestivum (bread wheat)
Lineage: Eukaryota; Viridiplantae; Streptophyta; Magnoliopsida; Poales; Poaceae
Description: partial small subunit ribosomal RNA
Source: RNAcentral